ACUCUCGGCAAUGGAUAUCUCGGUUCUUGAAUCGAUGAAGAACAUAGCGAAAUAUGAUACAUGGUGUGAAUUACAGAAUCCUGUGAACCAUCGAGUCUUUGAACGCAAGUUGCGCCCAAAGCCAUUAGGCCGAGGGAACGUCUGCCUGGGCAUCACGCAUCCCAUCGCCCCUUCGCAUCGCGCCUCCAUCACGGGGUGCGCUGUCGUCACGGGGCGGAUACUGGCCUCCCGUGCGCCUCGCGCUCGCUGCUGGCCUAAAUACUAGUCCACAUCAACGGACGUUGCGGCAAAUGAUGGUUGCAACUCAACUCUCUUUGCCAUCGCGGCUACGUCCCGUCGAGCGUCCCGAACUCCAGGACCCCUUCGCACUCAGGCUCUCCGACCGCAACCCCAGGUCAGGCGUGAUUACCCGCUGAGUUUAAGCAUAGCAAUAAACGGAGAAAAAGAAACUUACAAGGAUUCCCGUAGUAACGGCGAGCGAACCAAGAACAGCCCAGCCUUAGAAUCGAGCGGCUCCGUCAUUCGAAUUAUAGUCUGGAGAGACAUCGUCAGCGGCGGACCAGGCCCAAGUCCCCAGGAAGGGGGCUCCAGAGAGGGUGGGAGACUCGUUGUACCCGGACCAUGUCGCACCACGAGGCGCUAUCUAUGAGUCGGGUUGAUAGGAAUGUAGCCCAAAUCAGGCGGUGAAUUCCGUCCAAGGCUAAAUACGGGCGAGAGACCGAUAGUGAACAAGUACCGCGAGGGAAAGUUAAAAAGGACUUUGAAAAGAGAGUCAAAGAGUGCUUGAUAUUGUCGGGAGGGAAGUGGAUGGGGGCCGGCGAUGCGCCCCGAGAAGGAUGUAGAACGACGAUGAGUCGGUCUGCCGAUCGACUCGGGGCGUGGACCAGCGUCGAUUGGGGGGGCGAACAAAGCCCGGGCUCUCGAUAUGCUUGUGGAAUGCCGUCUCCUCGAUUGAGGCAGGAAGCACGCGCCUCCGGCAUUCUUCGGUAUCUGCGCGCUCUGGAUGCUGGCCUGUGGGCACCCCAUUUGACCCGUCUUGAAACAUUGACCAAGGAGUCUGACAUGUGUGCUAUUCAACGGGCGACUAUACCCGUAAGGCACAACAAACAUGAUUGGUGGGAUCCCCCCGAGGUGUGCACCUCCAACCGACCUUGAUCUUCUGAGAAUGGUUCGAGUGUGAGCAUACCUGUUAGGACCCGAAAGAUGGUGAACUAUGCCUGAGCGGGGCGAAUCCAGAUGAAACUCAGGUGGAGGCCCGAAGCGAUACUGACGUACAAAUCGUUCGUCUGACUUGGGUAUAGGGGCGAAAGACUAAUUGAACCGUCUAGUAGCUGGUUCUCUCCAAAGUUUCCCUCAGGAUAGCUAGAGCUCGCGUGCGAGUUCUAUUGGGUAAAGCUAAUGAUUAGAGGCCUCGAAAGCGCAACGCCCUCGACCCAUUCUCAAACUUUAAAUAGGUAGGACGGCGCGGCUGUUUGGUUGAGCCGCACCACGGAAUAAAGAGCUCUAAGUUGGCCAUUUUUGGUAAGCAGAACUAGCGAUGCAGGAUGAACCAAAAGUCGGGUUACGGUGCCAAACUGUGCACUAACCUAGAUCCCACAAAGGGUGUUGGUCGAUUAAGACAGCAGGACGGUGGUCAUGGAAGUCCAAAUCCGCUAAGCAGUGUGUAACAACUCACCUGCCAAAUACACUAGGCUCGAAAAUGGAUGGAGCUUAAGCGCGAGACCUACACCCGGCCGUCGGGGCAAAUGCUAGGCCCCGAUAAGUAGGAGGGCGCGGCGGUAGCUGUAAAACCUUGGGUGCGAUCCCGGGUGGAGCGGUCGUCGGUGCAGAUCUUGGUGGUAGUAGCAAAUAUUCAAAUGAGAACUUUGAUGGCCAAUGAUGGGAAAGGUUCUAUGUUAACGGCAGUUGCACAUGGGUUAGUCGAUCCUAAGGGUUGGGGAAACCCCGACAGACAGCGCAUUUCGCGCGUGCUCCGAAAGGGAAUCGGGUUAAAAUUCCUGAACCGGGACGUGGAGGUCGACGGCAACGUUAGGAAGUCCGGAGAUGUCGGUGGGAGCCUUAGGAAGAGUUAUCUUUCUGUUUAACAGCCUGGCCACCCUGGAAUCAGCUCAGCCAGAGGUAGGUCCAGCGGCUGGAAGAGCACCGCACGUCGCGUGGUGUCCGGUGCGCUCCCGGCGGCCAUGUCGGUAUGCAGCGUGGGCGCAUGGCAACAUGCAUGGAUAGUCCAUACAAGCGACGAGUACCCGUGUAGCAACAUCGGUGGCACUUCAUUGUACGCUCAUGUCGGUUAUCGAUGGCGUCGUCCGCGACAGAGCUACUGGUGCUUGAAUUCGGAUGAGGCUGUGCUAUCGUGCGAGCAUCGAGUCCUGGAUGCUGCCCUCGAGGCAAGAUCUAGGCACUGCACGCAUGCGACCGAGCCCUAUCCGCUGACGAGCACCGGCGGCCGUCGUGGGCGACGCCCGUGCAUGAGCCUCGACGUGCCUUCAUUUCCUCUGCUCCCACCAAGGGCGGGCUAUCAUGUCAAGCGGGACUUACUUCAGCCUUGCAACGUCCGCGUGGGCAGCAGCGCACAUCAUCUAUUGCUGGGCGUUGGGGCCGGUGCUGGGCGUGCAUCGAUGGAGCAUUUGGAUGCACGACACGUGAGUUGUGUUCGGCACGUGCGGUAGGUUGGAUCCCUGCUCGAGCAGCGACGUCCUGACCUGCCUGCCAUCUCAGUCACGGGGCAAGCACAAUGUAGGAUUGCUCGAAGUCGGUUUCCUGUGCUGCAUGCAUUAUAAAGUUAAAUCGAUCACCUUUCGCCCAUCGCAUUUUGUGCGCGGGGAAAAUCAAAAGGCCACCCUUGCAUCCCAUGCCUCCCUCGCUUCGUCGGGAGAUAUCGUGGUCCAUGAACGGCGGUCGGGAUACUCGGAUACGGUAGACGCAGUGGGCAUGGGGCCUUCAUCGACUCCUAUCUGCCCAGUACGAUGCUCCUUGCAAACGACGGUCGCGAUCGCCUUCAAUUCGUCUGCGCCCUCGCGGGCAGGCCGGGCUCAUGCGACGCCGACGUCGAUGAGGAAUGCUACCUGGUUAAUCCUACCAGUAGUCAUAUGCUUGUCUCAAAGAUUAAGCCAUGCAUGUGUAAGUAUGAACAAAUUCAGACUGUGAAACUGCUAAUGGCCUGCCAUGGUGGUGUCUUUGUUAAGAUGUUGCUUUUAGGACUCCGCCGGCACCUUAUGAUAAAUCAAAGUUUUUGGGUUUCGGUGGGAGUAUGGUCGCAAGGCUGUAACUUAAACGAAUUGACGGAUGGGCACCACCAGGAGUGGAGCCUGUGGCUUAAUUUGACUCAACACGGGGAAACUUACCAGGUCCAAACAUAGUAAGGAUUGACAGAAUGA
This 3374-nucleotide ribosomal RNA is filed under the name Capsicum baccatum. RNAcentral's name for it is "eukaryotic LSU rRNA". The stretch from base 387 to 2274 matches the Rfam family "Eukaryotic large subunit ribosomal RNA". The record is from RNAcentral. Lineage: Eukaryota; Viridiplantae; Streptophyta; Magnoliopsida; Solanales; Solanaceae.